GACGAACGCUGGCGGCGUGCUUAACACAUGCAAGUCGAACGGUGAAGGGACCGGUUUUUGCUGGUUCUGGAUGAGUGGCGCACGGGUGAGUAACACGUGAGUAACCUGCCCCCUUCUUCUGGAUAACCGCAUGAAAGUGUGGCUAAUACGGGAUAUUCUGCGCCUGCUGCAUGGUGGGUGUGGGAAAGAUAUUGUUUCGGUGGGGGAUGGGCUCGCGGCCUAUCAGCUUGUUGGUGGGGUGAUGGCCUACCAAGGCGGUGACGGGUAGCCGGCCUGAGAGGGUGGACGGUCACACUGGGACUGAGACACGGCCCAGACUCCUACGGGAGGCAGCAGUGGGGAAUAUUGCACAAUGGGCGCAAGCCUGAUGCAGCGACGCCGCGUGAGGGAUGGAGGCCUUCGGGUUGUAAACCUCUUUCGCCAGUGAAGCAGGCCUGUCCCUUUUGUGGGUGGGUUGACGGUAGCUGGAUAAGAAGCGCCGGCUAACUACGUG
This 493-nucleotide ribosomal RNA is filed under the name uncultured bacterium. RNAcentral describes it as "partial 16S ribosomal RNA". It matches the Rfam family "Bacterial small subunit ribosomal RNA", at positions 28 to 507 of the family's 1533-position model. The record is from RNAcentral.